UGCCUCUCCCUAGGCUGGAGGUUACUAUGGAAAUUGAGUUUUGAUAAAUGAAGUAGUUAUCUCUAACCACUGCAUUAAAAAGUAAAAGCUUUUGGACAAAGGUCAGUGGCGAAGCAGAGCUCUGUGAGAGUAUGGUUUCAGACAUUGUGUAUGCGUGUUAGGAGGGAGCAGUGCUUGGUUAUCUGAAUGCCUAACACUUCCUAAAACCCGGGUGGUAGCUGUGAGCUUUCCAAGAAUGGCUUUUGAAAGAAAAGGCAUCUCUCAGUUUAUCUGUGAUAGGAGUGAAAUUAUUUGGGCCUGAGGUUGGGUUGGGUUUUUUGUGGGCAGGUAAGCAUGAACAGAAUAAAUCCAAAGAUGAUUCAAACUCCAGUCUAAAACCUCCCAAAUAGAGUUGACAGGUGCCAGAAGAGUCCAUAUAGAAACACUAAAGCAACCUACUAAAAUGUCCUUUUGUAGACUAGUGUUAGGGAAACACUGAACAUGGGGUUUUGAGCUUUGGAUCAAGAGGAGAAACAGAAGUAGUUUAGGAACAUUUGAGCUGUUGUUUCUUCUCUCUCAUCAGAAGUCCUUGAAACUGGAGAUAGGAAAGAGGAAAGGUAUUUUUUGAGGUUAAAGUCCCCAUAAUAAAAGAAGUGUGCAAUUGCAUAUACCGACGUAAUCAAGUGCUUAUUGCAGGCACAUCGUCAGGCUAUAUCUAAAUAGCCUUUCCACCCUGUCAGGGUUUACUGCUCUGAAUGCUUGUACCUGGGAUCCUGGAACUUGACCUGCUGGCAGAGAAAUUUAAUAGUGGGUCGUCUGAACAAUGCCCACACUAAUAAAAAUAAAAAAUAAAAAAAAAGACUACGAUGAAGGAUCCAGGCCUAGUCAGGGUCCCAUGGAGCAACUUUGUCACAUGAUCGUAAAUAUUGUGGCCUUAAAACAUCUAAUGAGUAAGGCCGUGUAAUGCAGUUUAAUGAAGUUGUUUGAUAGUCUUUCAGAUGCCUUGAAGGGGGGGGGGUGUAACAGACUCGCUCAUCUGGCUAAACCCGUUCUUAGGUAAUCAUGGUGCAUGGAGGCUUUCUCCUCAUUUCUGGUUUCUAGACAAUGCCUUUUAAAAUCACCUGUGUGCUGGCUACCAUUGUCUCCGCCCUCCGCUCCUGCCCCCUGAAUGUGCAGGAAGCCAGGAGAGGCUUGUGGCUUGUUUCUUUCUUUCUUUUUUUUUUUUCCUUUCUCCUUCGACUGCCCAGGUAGAUGAAACAGUUUUUUGUUUUUCCUUUCUGAAUAGUACCUCUGACUUAAUAGCUUGUCCUGUUUUUCUUUCUGUCCCAUUUCCUCGCACUUGGAAAACUUGUUAGGGGACUCUUAAAAAAAAAAAAAAAACUACAUGGCAAUAUUGACUGUGUAUUUGAUGAUAUUAAAAGAAAUGUUUUUGUACUGAUUGCAGGUAGAGCGUGAAACACCCCAGCCUUUCUGUAAUUGUAGUAAUUGUAGCUGCUUUUUUAAAAAAAUGUAUACUUACCAUAUGCCACAGUAGAUUUAAGCAUAUAAAAGAACCCUCAUUUGUGUUCUGUUUAAUGACUUAUUCUGGGGAUUUUUAGAUAACUUGAGUUACAGAGGGAGUCUAAGCAAGCCGCCAGUCUACUGCACAACUAACGCAUUCUUCCUGAGCUGAGACAGAAGUGUAAAACAUCAGUCUGCCUUUCGAAUCACAAGUAUAGCAUUCGAGUUUUCUAAGUUUGUGGACUUCAGAUUUCUUUAUAGAGAACAC
Molecule: long non-coding RNA, 1747 nt
Filed under: Mus musculus (house mouse)
Lineage: Eukaryota; Metazoa; Chordata; Mammalia; Rodentia; Muridae
Description: long non-coding RNA chr14:99304513-99306260
Source: RNAcentral